GAUGAACGCUGGCGGCGUGCCUAAUACAUGCAAGUCGAGCGAACGGACGAGAAGCUUGCUUUUCUGAUGUUAGCGGCGGACGGGUGAGUAACACGUGGAUAACCUACCUAUAAGACUGGGAAAACUUCGGGAAACCGGAGCUAAUACCGGAUAAUAUUUUGAACCGCAUGGUUCAAAAGUGAAAGACGGUCUUGCUGUCACUUAUAGAUGGAUCCGCGCUGCAUUAGCUAGUUGGUAAGGUAACGGCUUACCAAGGCAACGAUGCAUAGCCGACCUGAGAGGGUGAUCGGCCACACUGGAACUGAGACACGGUCCAGACUCCUACGGGAGGCAGCAGUAGGGAAUCUUCCGCAAUGGGCGAAAGCCUGACGGAGCAACGCCGCGUGAGUGAUGAAGGUCUUCGGAUCGUAAAACUCUGUUAUUAGGGAAGAACAUAUGUGUAAGUAACUGUGCACAUCUUGACGGUACCUAAUCAGAAAGCCACGGCUAACUACGUG
This 497-nucleotide ribosomal RNA is filed under the name uncultured bacterium. RNAcentral's name for it is "partial 16S ribosomal RNA". It matches the Rfam family "Bacterial small subunit ribosomal RNA", at positions 28 to 507 of the family's 1533-position model. The record is from RNAcentral.